Molecule: long non-coding RNA, 4085 nt
Organism: Astatotilapia calliptera (eastern happy)
Lineage: Eukaryota; Metazoa; Chordata; Actinopteri; Cichliformes; Cichlidae
Source: Ensembl
CAUUAACCUGUUUUCUUUGUUUUCUUUAUUUUUAACUUUCCAGCUUUCCAUUGCCAUCGAAGCGUUACACCCCUUCUCCUGCACCAGGGCCCCAACAGAGCCCCCUUCUGGGUGGGCUCCCAGGGAGCUUUUUACUGAUUGGACAGCAAGCUGCAUGCUUGCGGCUGGCUCAGCUGAACGCCCACCUUACUUUGACACAGAUAAAUAAUGCUGUUGCUGUUGGUGGUCGAACCAACACACACGCCCCAUUUAUACCCACAACACCCCCCUGCCCGACAGCUGCAGCCAUCAGUCUACUGAACCUUCUGAAGGUUGCUAACACCAUGUCCCAUCCCUUAUAUAACCCCUAUGCCUCUGGGAAUCAAAGUUCAGCCCAGGGGCGCUAUGGACAGUCCAGUAUGCAGGCAGAGAGAGACUCUCAUAAGACAUCUCCUCAUCUUGGGCCUGGGUCCAGCUUUAGCUCUUCUGGAGUUUCAUCUGCGACUCCUGCAAAAUCUGGGGGAAUAAUGAGCUACAGGCCAGAAGGGAGUAAGACUUCAAUGGAAGAGGACAUAAAGAGGUCCAUAGACAUGCAUAUAAGCAGAGCCAGAGAGGAGGUGAGAAAUCAGCCUGUAAAAAAGAACAGUCGUUUUACCAGCACUCAAAGAGAUGAGUAUGAUUCUUCAGGCAAAGAUGUGACUUCCUACAUGUUGUCCUCAAACUCUCAAAGACCUGAUGUUGCAAGUAGCACUAGCUCCAUGGACUGGUUGCCAAGAUACAAACGGGAAACUGAGGAUGAUUCGUCUAAAUACUGUUCAUCAUCUGCUUCAUUGAGCUAUCAAAGCACUGGCGACAGUAGGUUUAAUGCCUCGAAUGAAAGAGAGCGCAAUGUGCAAUCAAUUCCAGGCUUAGGUGAUUAUGACUACCCAGUGCCAGACAAACCUGUGGGUUCUGCAGAGUCUACUCAUCCCAAGUACACUUCAGAAACAGCUGUGAACAUCCUUAUGCAGUUUGGACUUGAAAAAGAGGACCUGGAACAUCUGAUCUCAUAUCCCGAAGAUCAGAUGACUCCUGACAACCUGCCUUUUAUCUUACGACAAAUCCGCAUGGAAAAGGCAAAGAGAUCUGCAACAGCAGAUCCAUCAAAAUCCUACUAUGAUCCUCAUUCCACCACAAGUAUGAGUGGAAGGGAAAGGUUGAGUACUUCAAGAGGGGAAGGGAUGCGUCAGGAUGAAUUGUCACCUAUUGUCCAAUCAAGUAAAGUGAUUGAUUAUGGACAUACUGGAAAAUAUACUGGGAGCUUUGGGGAUGAAAUUGGAAGAAGCAGCAGUGGAGCCAGUAGUGGUGGAAGUGGAGGUACGCUGCUGAUGGGCUCCUAUGAUAGUAGCGGUCACAGUCGAGAACCACUGCAAAAAAGUAUGACAGAGGUGAAAAACAGCACCUUGGUUUCUUCCCGUGAUCAAGGCAGCUCUUUUACCAGUCAUGGCUCAAUGCGAAGUAGUGGUCCAGCUCAACAACUGCCAACACAACCAAACCAGCCUUCUCAAGAAAUCUUCAAAGGUUUCUCUCUGCCAAAGACAGACACAGACUUAAGACCUCUUAAAGCAGAAGUCACUAAAACCCUUCCGUUGAAAAAUCCAGAGCCAGAUCGCCAGUCAGCAUCAAAAAGCCAACUAACUCCUAAUAUAGUUCGUAGUGUGCAUCCAAGUCGACCUGGCCUUGUACUCAUUGGCAGCAGCAGCAGCGACAGUCACAUCAAAGAAAAGAGUAAGACUCACGGGCAAAUAUCAAAUGUUUCUGAGCAGAUGAACAAACAGCAAAUGCAGCAGAAGCAGGUACAACAGCAACAGGUGAAACAGACAAUGCAACAACCACCACCAAAGCAGCAGAUGCAGCAACAGUUGAAGCAACAACAGUCAAAGCAGCAGCAGACGCAGCAGCAGCAGACGGAGCAGCAGCAGAUGCAGCAGCAGACGCAACAACUGAAGCAGCAGACGCAACAACUGAAGCAGACGCAGCAGCAGCAGACGCAACAGCAGCAACUGGAGCAGCAGCAGACGCAACAACAAUUAAAGCAGCAGCAGCAGAUACAACAGCAGCAACUGAAGCAGCAGCAGCAGACGGCCCAGGUACCUAACCUGCCGAUUGGGUUGCAGCAGAUGCAGAAUCAGCCAGCUGUGCAUAUGGGACAAGCUUUGCAGUCUCAAGUUUUUUCGGCUGCAAAGCCAGUUCCACAGCCGUCCCUCAUGCCAGGGCUCACGAUGCCCGUUCCUCCGGGUCUCUCGCCGCUAAUGCAGAACCUCGUGAAUUUCAUUCAUAUACCGCAGCCCGCUUCCACCAAGCAGCUUCCAGCAAAGGUAGAAGUGACAGGGAAUAUCCCAGUGCUGGCCCAGAUGCAAGACUACACUGCCACUUCACCUAGGGUCUUUCCGCAUACCUGCUCUCUAUGUAACAAGGAAUGUAAUCAGAUGAAGGUAAGUCGAAGAUUGUUCGAUGUUUUUGCUUUCAGUCAGUUUUUAUUUAUUUGACAUGCAAUGUUUUUUGUUUUGUUUUUUAUUUGAUUUUGGAUCGAAUUAUAGGACUUUGGUUUGGGAAAAACUUCAUGUAUGCUACUUUAAAGUUUAUUUGUUUGUUUUGUUCACUAUUCCUGCAUGAUGGUGACUAUAGGAAGACUACCAACUUGGCUUGCAAACAUUUGGACAAAUUUUUCACAUAUUUCUGCAAUUCAGUAUUCUGUACCAGAAUUUCUGAAGGAUUACAGUGCAGACUAAACUUAACUAUAUGUCUAUCAGAUAUUGUAAUUGAAAAACACUACUAAUAAGAGACCUUCAGAAUCUUCAGUGGUCUGUACUUGCAAUUGAUAGAUUUAAUCUCUUUUAAAUUGACAUAAACUGAUGCUAAGACAUUCAAGGCUUUUGCUAACAAUGGAACCAAGGCCUCAGAUGACGUGAUGAGGAGAAACCUGCAAACCUGACGAGCCUGUGCAUCAGAAAAUGUUGGAAGAUGGCUGGUUUUUCAUUUGUCUCUGUUCUUGGGCUGCUGUUCCACAGUGCACAUUCAGCUUUGCUUUUUCUGGAACUGUUGCUGAAUGUAAAAGUUCCCCUUUUUGUCUUUUGUCAUUAGAGUUAAGAAUAGUGUGUUUUGUCCUUUAUUUCACAUUAGUGGGCACCUUGUUUUUGUGUAAUACUCGCUUCUUCUUUUUUUUUAACUCAUACUUUCUUUUUAAGUUAGUGUUUCUGUGUCCCAAAAGGCAACAUCAUUUACUACCACAAACAUAAGCACCCGCUGCGCCCAGUCAUGAGCUACACAAGCACCAGAUUUGAUUUGAUUUGUUGUUGAAUCUCUCUUUAUGGAUCGGCCUUCCUUCGCUGCACCAAAUUUCACAUUUGAGCUCCUCGUCAAAGAAACAGCGCCUUCCUCUUCUGGUCUAUUUCAACGUCAUCUUCCUGUCGCUACUCCAACUGUGAUCGUCAUCGGCAUUUUGUCCUAAUCCAAACUUGGCCUCUCCUGAGACGACCUUCUUGGAGCUUCGGGAAAGUUUGAUGCCAUAAGAAGAGCCUGAGAGUCCAGAAUCCAGAGCCUAAUUGACCUUUUGUUUUGGUUGUUUGUAAUCAGAUGUUUGACUUGUGUUUUCUAUAUAUACUAAAUAAUUUCACUUUUAAAAUUUUAUCCCAGGAAAGGUAUAAUGUGUCACGCUUAUUUGUUCCUGGUUUUUGGCCUAUGAAGGUUUAAAUACAAUCCAGGCUCCUGGCUAAUGUUAUAAUGCUUCUGCAUUCAGUGAAGGACUAACUGUUAAUAUUUUAAGAAUUUUUUUUAAGGCCACUGCAAAGUUUAGUGACCUUUUAUCAGCAAGUGAUGUCAAUGACAAACGUUGCUCCUGAUAAUAAUAAACCUUGUCUAAAUGUUUGUGUUUUGUUGUGACCACUAGGAUUGGGUCUCCCACCAGAAUACCAGCCUUCACAUCGAGAACUGCAAACUUCUGCGAAAGCGAUACCCAGAAUGGAACGGUGAAAUUGCAUCACUGCCAGGUGCAUCAGGUGCCAAGCCCUCUCCCUCAACUUCUGCUGAGACUUCCCAGAAGAAAACCAGACAUGAGAGUCGUUCCC